This 113-nucleotide ribosomal RNA is filed under the name Hippichthys penicillus (beady pipefish). RNAcentral describes it as "partial 16S ribosomal RNA". The record is from RNAcentral. Lineage: Eukaryota; Metazoa; Chordata; Actinopteri; Syngnathiformes; Syngnathidae.
CACUUUAAAUUAAGCCCGCUAACCCAUCACCACAAUUUAAUUAUUAAUAAACCCUUAAAUACUUAAAUCGUAAAAUAAACCAUUUUUCCACCCUAGUAAGGGAGACAAAAAAG